Molecule: ribosomal RNA, 253 nt
Filed under: uncultured bacterium
Lineage: Bacteria
Description: partial 16S ribosomal RNA
Rfam family: Bacterial small subunit ribosomal RNA
Source: RNAcentral
UACGUAGGGGGCAAGCGUUGUCCGGAUUUAUUGGGCGUAAAGAGCGUGUAGGCGGUCUGGUAGGUCCGUUGUGAAAACUCGAGGCUCAACCUCGAGACGCCGAUGGAAACCAUCAGACUAGAGUCCGGAAGAGGAGAGUGGAAUUCCUGGUGUAGCGGUGAAAUGCGCAGAUAUCAGGAAGAAUACCGGUGGUGAAGACGGCUCUCUGGACCGCCACUGACGCUGAGACACGAAAGCGUGGGUAGCAAACAGG